This 363-nucleotide unclassified non-coding RNA is filed under the name Leontopodium nanum. RNAcentral's name for it is "partial contains external transcribed spacer and 18S ribosomal RNA". Lineage: Eukaryota; Viridiplantae; Streptophyta; Magnoliopsida; Asterales; Asteraceae. The record is from RNAcentral.
CUGGCUUACCUUUUCAGUCUUGUGUCAUUGCUUGUAUCGCAUUGAAUGCAUGGUGGGUUUCUUGUGUUGCAUGCCUAAUUGAUGGUAUCAUUUGAAGAAUUGAUGUCCCUUUUCAUCCUGUGUCGCACAUGCGAUGUGAGAUGAACCUUGAAGUAGCCUUUGUGAUCCACUCUUUCGAUGUACACGCAUUGAUUUUGUGGCCCACUGUGCGUUGCUUGGUCUCAUGGAUAUGGAACCUGGUGUGGGCAUGGGAUCUUUACUAGUUCCUUGUUUGCCCUGGUUUAGCUUUUCUAAUACGAUUGUUUAUCACAUUUUAAUGUGGUAGGCUAUAUCGGAUAUGAAUGCUACCUGGUUGAUCCUGCC